ACGAACGCUGGCGGCGUGCUUAACACAUGCAAGUCGAACGGGUCUGCCCUGUUUUUUGCGGGGUGGGUCAGUGGCGAACGGGUGAGUAACACGUGAGUAACCUGCCCCUCACUUCUGGAUAACCGCUUGAAAGGGUGGCUAAUACGGGGUGUUCUGGCUGUGCCGCAUGGUGUGGCUGGGAAAGAUUCACUUUUGUGGUGUUUUGGUGGGGGAUGGGCUCGCGGCCUAUCAGCUUGUUGGGGGGGUGAUGGCCUGCCAAGGCUUUGACGGGUAGCCGGCCUGAGAGGGUGGGCGGUCACACUGGGACUGAGAUACGGCCCAGACUCCUGCGGGAGGCAGCAGUGGGGGGUAUUGCACAAUGGGCGGAAGCCUGAUGCAGCGACGUCGCGUGAGGGAUGGAGGCCUUCGGGUUGUGAACCUCUUUCGCCGGUGAAGAAGGUCCUGCUCUUUGUGGUGGGGUUGACGGUAGCCGGGUUAUGAAGCGCCGGCUAACUACGUG
RNAcentral lists this ribosomal RNA (499 nucleotides) under uncultured bacterium. RNAcentral's name for it is "partial 16S ribosomal RNA". It matches the Rfam family "Bacterial small subunit ribosomal RNA", at positions 29 to 507 of the family's 1533-position model. The record is from RNAcentral.